AUUGAACGCUGGCGGCAGGCCUAACACAUGCAAGUCGAGCGGAUGACGGGAGCUUGCUCCUUGAUUCAGCGGCGGACGGGUGAGUAAUGCCUAGGAAUCUGCCUGGUAGUGGGGGACAACGUUUCGAAAGGAACGCUAAUACCGCAUACGUCCUACGGGAGAGAGCAGGGGACCUUCGGGCCUUGCGCUAUCAGAUGAGCCUAGGUCGGAUUAGCUAGUUGGUGGGGUAAUGGCUCACCAAGGCGACGAUCCGUAACUGGUCUGAGAGGAUGAUCAGUCACACUGGAACUGAGACACGGUCCAGACUCCUACGGGGGGCAGCAGUGGGGAAGAUUGGAAAAUGGGCGAAAGCCUGAUCCAGCCAUGCCGCGUGUGUGAAGAAGGUCUUCGGGUCGUAAAGCACUUUAAGUUGGGAGGAAGGGCUCAUAGCGAAUACCUGUGAGUUUUGACGUUACCAACAGAAUAAGCACCGGCUAACUUCGUGCCAGCCGCCGCAGUAA
Molecule: ribosomal RNA, 500 nt
Filed under: uncultured bacterium
Lineage: Bacteria
Description: partial 16S ribosomal RNA
Rfam family: Bacterial small subunit ribosomal RNA
Source: RNAcentral